RNAcentral lists this ribosomal RNA (468 nucleotides) under uncultured bacterium. RNAcentral describes it as "partial 16S ribosomal RNA". It matches the Rfam family "Bacterial small subunit ribosomal RNA", at positions 28 to 507 of the family's 1533-position model. The record is from RNAcentral.
GACGAACGCUGGCGGCGUGCUUAACACAUGCAAGUCGAACGGAAAGGCACUGCUUUUGUGGGGUGCUCGAGUGGCGAACGGGUGAGUAACACGUGAGUAACCUGACCUUGACUUUGGGAUAACAUCAGGAAACUGGGGCUAAUACCGGAUAGGAGCUUCUGCUGCAUGGUGGGGGUUGGAAAGUUUCGGCGGUUGGGGAUGGACUCGCGGCUUAUCAGCUUGUUGGUGGGGUAGUGGCUUACCAAGGAUUUGACGGGUAGCCGGCCUGAGAGGGUGACCGGCCACAUUAGUCCUGAGAUACGCCCCAGACUCCUACGGGAGGCAGCGGUGGGAAAUAUUGCACAAUGGGCGGAAGCCUGAUGCAACAGCGCCGCGUGCGGGAUGACGGCCUUCUGGUUAUAAACCGCUUUCGCCUGUUACGAAGCGUUAGUGACGGUAAUGGGUAAAGAAGCACCGGCUAACUACGUG